AAGCCCAUGGCCCCGUGUGGGGUGCGUGUUGGGCCUCGCCCGUGGGCGUCGCCCGGAACGAAUAGGUCGAAGGAGCGGACGUGAUCCAUUAGGACUGACCGCCCCGAGACCCUAAAUCUCAG
RNAcentral lists this unclassified non-coding RNA (122 nucleotides) under uncultured Archaeorhizomycetaceae. RNAcentral's name for it is "sequence contains ITS2". Lineage: Eukaryota; Fungi; Ascomycota; Archaeorhizomycetes; Archaeorhizomycetales; Archaeorhizomycetaceae. The record is from RNAcentral.